CUUCACAUCAAUAAUGGCAUCCAGCAUGAAAGCUUUUCUUUUUCUGCAUCCGCUGCUCUGUUAAGUGAUCACCACAUUCAUUGUUCUCGUUUCUAUUAUUUCUGAAAAAAAUCUUCAGGAUUCUGCUUGUGGGAGUGGAUGACAUUUUUACAGUGUUUACAGCUUUAUCUAUUCCAGAAUGUCAUAUAGCUGGUAUAAGAAAGAACACUAAUCAUUCCUAAGGAAGAAAAUUAACAACGCCGUGAGUUAUAAUAUCUGGCUGAAACUGAAGGAGCUCUGUGUAAUUAAAAGUCCUUUCUGCCCUGCCUGGCCAUGGUUCUGUAUGCAUUGAUGUCUUACAAACUGAAAAAAAAAAAAGUUAUUUUCUCAUCUCCAUUCCCUAGCAUAGACAUAUUACAUGAUGUGGAAUUGAAACAAGAAAAUUGCAUUUUAAUCUUCCACUCAGAACAUAGAAGAAUGAAACAAACAAACAAAAAAUACUCUGUUGUCUUAGUCUACCACAAGCAAAAUCUGGCAGUCUCUUUGCUUUGGUAAUGGCAUAAAUUCCUUGAUUAGCCUAUAGGAUAGCCCAUUGUUCUGCUCUUUUAGUGGAAUAGCUAGCAAUUGCUUUGUCAUUUUUUCCCCAUGGUUCCUACCAUUAGUGUUGGGAGGUUUCUUCUUUGUUUUUUUGAGAAAGAGGAAAAAGUUGUUAUAUUUUCAUAAAAACUUAAAUUUCAUCCAAAAUACUUGAUUUUCAUGAAGAAAGUAAAUAUCUCUGCCCCUAGUAUACAUGUGUGGAAACUUUCAGAACCCUGAAGAUAAAUACAUUUCAAACAAGUGAGUUUGAAAAUAUCAAUAGCAAAAUAGGAAGUAAGCUAAUUAGAGAGGUAAGAACUAGAUGGCUUAGCAUUCCAAUAAUAAUAUAUAACCUUCUUUAAGAGUAAAAUCUUGGUCAAAAGACAGAUGAAAACUCCAAUAAAAUUUCACAACUCAUGGAAAAGUCUAUCUUCGUAAUUCUUUAUGAAGCAAACUAUAUAUAUAUAAAACAUAUAUAUAUAUAUAUUUGAGACAGAGUUUCGCUCUUGUUGCCCAGGCUGGAGUGCAGUGGUGCGAUCUUGGCUCAUGGCAGCCUCUGUCUCCCGGGUUCAAGUGAUUCUCCUGACACAGCCUUGUAAGUGGUUGGGAUUACAGGUGUGUGCUAUCAUGCCCGGCUAAUUCUGUAUUUUGAGUAGAGACGGGGGUUUCUCCACGUUGGUCAGGGUGGUCUCGAACUCCCGACCUCAGGUGAUACCCUCGCCUCGACCUCUCAGAAUGCUGGGAUUAGAGGCUUGAGCCACCACGCCUAGCUGCAAACAUAUUUCUUAUAUUUUCCAACAUCACAAAAUUUUACUGAGCUAUGAUAUGUACUAAAAGCUGAUAAAGAUGGUGUUGUUAUAUUUAACAGUACUCUGAAUUUUGUUGCCAUUUCUAAAAUUGUAUUCAGAGGAAAUUAUGCCCAUGUUUCUAUAGAGAGAAUUUUAAAAAAUACAUGAGCAUAGAAAUUUGAGCAACAUUGAUUAAGGUUCCAUAAAA
Homo sapiens (human) is the source of this 1551-nucleotide long non-coding RNA. Ensembl annotates it as long intergenic non-protein coding RNA 1608. The record is from Ensembl. Lineage: Eukaryota; Metazoa; Chordata; Mammalia; Primates; Hominidae.